RNAcentral lists this ribosomal RNA (1442 nucleotides) under metagenome. RNAcentral describes it as "bacterial SSU rRNA". It matches the Rfam family "Bacterial small subunit ribosomal RNA". The record is from RNAcentral.
GAGUUUGAUCCUGGCUCAGGAUGAACGCUGGCGGCGUGCUUAACACAUGCAAGUCGAACGAUCCUUCGGGAUAGUGGCGGACGGGUGAGUAACGCGUGGGAAUCUGCCCUCAGGAGGGGGAUAACGGCUGGAAACGGCCGCUAAUACCCCAUAUGCCGAGAGGUGAAAUGAAUUUCGCCUGAGGAUGAGCCCGCGUCUGAUUAGCUAGUUGGUGGGGUAAAGGCCUACCAAGGCGAUGAUCAGUAGCUGGUCUGAGAGGAUGAUCAGCCACACUGGGACUGAGACACGGCCCAGACUCCUACGGGAGGCAGCAGUGGGGAAUUUUCCGCAAUGGGCGAAAGCCUGACGGAGCAACGCCGCGUGAGGGAUGAAGGCCUCUGGGCUGUAAACCUCUUUUCUCAAGGAAGAAGAACUGACGGUACUUGAGGAAUAAGCCACGGCUAAUUCCGUGCCAGCAGCCGCGGUAAUACGGGAGUGGCAAGCGUUAUCCGGAAUUAUUGGGCGUAAAGCGUCCGCAGGCGGCCUUGUAAGUCUGUUGUUAAAGCGUGGAGCUCAACUCCAUUUAAGCAAUGGAAACUACAAGGCUGGAGUGUGGUAGGGGCAGAGGGAAUUCCCGGUGUAGCGGUGAAAUGCGUAGAUAUCGGGAAGAACACCAGUGGCGAAGGCGCUCUGCUGGGCCAUAACUGACGCUCAUGGACGAAAGCCAGGGGAGCGAAAGGGAUUAGAUACCCCUGUAGUCCUGGCCGUAAACGAUGAACACUAGGUGUCGGGGGAAUCGACCCCCUCGGUGUCGUAGCCAACGCGUUAAGUGUUCCGCCUGGGGAGUACGCACGCAAGUGUGAAACUCAAAGGAAUUGACGGGGGCCCGCACAAGCGGUGGAGUAUGUGGUUUAAUUCGAUGCAACGCGAAGAACCUUACCAGGGUUUGACAUCCUGCGAAUCCCUUGGAAACGAGGGAGUGCCUUCGGGAGCGCAGUGACAGGUGGUGCAUGGCUGUCGUCAGCUCGUGUCGUGAGAUGUUGGGUUAAGUCCCGCAACGAGCGCAACCCACGUCUUUAGUUGCCAGCAUUCAGUUGGGCACUCUAGAGAGACCGCCGGUGAUAAACCGGAGGAAGGUGUGGAUGACGUCAAGUCAUCAUGCCCCUUACAUCCUGGGCUACACACGUACUACAAUGCUACGGACAAAGGGCAGCAAGCUCGCGAGAGUUAGCAAAUCCCAUAAACCGUGGCUCAGUUCAGAUCGUAGGCUGCAACUCGCCUACGUGAAGGAGGAAUCGCUAGUAAUCGCAGGUCAGCAUACUGCGGUGAAUACGUUCCCGGGCCUUGUACACACCGCCCGUCACACCAUGGAAGUUGGCCAUGCCCGAAGUCGUUACUCCAACCCUUGUGGAGGAGGACGCCGAAGGUGGGGCUGAUGACUGGGGUGAAGUCGUAACAAGGUA